GGGACACAAAGUGCCAUCUGUAAAUCUGCAGCUCCUAAAACAACCAGUUGCUAGAGGCAACCCCGGAGCAUAUAAUUUUUAAACUCCAAUGAACUGUCUGGACACAUUUUUCUCCAAACUCACCAACCCCUGCAACCCUGGGAUUUGUUUCUAAUGUUAGGAGAGUGCUUAUCUGGUACCUCCUGACCCCUAAAAGGACACCAACAGAGAUGGGAACUCUAUUAUGUGAGACACUAAAUGAACAUGGAGAAUGGCAGCACCUGCCCCAAGUAGCUGACUGUCUAAAAUAGACAAAACAGGCACUGAAAAGCCUAUUAUCUCCAAUUAUAGAUGGCAGGUUACUCUUUCAUGUUUCCCAAACCGGUACGUCUUCAGAUCAAAUACUUACAAAAGACUAGUUCAGUAAAACAACCCCAGCCUUCUGCAAAGACUUGUGGGCCAGGAGCUGAGUGAUGUGCAUUAAGAGACCAACCUACUCACAGCCUAUAUAAUGCCAGUGAAGCAUUCAACCAGACAAGGAGAGACAAAAAGCCUGGGAACAAGGUCUGUGAUAAGUGAGAUCUCCUUUCCCUACCUUUCACCUGCAGGUAACUUUGUUGAUUAGUGACUCUGACAUGUGGCCUGGGGUUUUUUCUUAGUAAUGAAGAAAAAAAUUGGGCAUCAGUUCCUGAAUAUGACUGUAGUGCAGAGUUUUGAAAUAAAACCAAUGGUAUGUGGCUGAACCUGCCUGAUAAGAAGUUAUUAAAAAAAAGUAAUAAUGUCUUAGUCACAGCAAUGAGGAGAUAAAUUAUAUGUUAAAUGGCAAAGCACAGCACUGCAUAUUUCAUGCUCUGUAAUGACUUAAGAGUUCAUCAUGAUAAAUGUUAUUAAAAUAAGGACGAAAGGAAUUAAAUGUGAUGCUCUGCUACCUGUGCUGAGAUCUCUUCAACUCACUUAAUUCUUGCUGCCUUGCCUU
This is a long non-coding RNA of Pipra filicauda (Wire-tailed manakin), 955 nucleotides long. RefSeq lists it as uncharacterized. NCBI's taxonomy places the organism in Eukaryota, Metazoa, Chordata, Aves, Passeriformes, Pipridae. The transcript is spliced from 5 exons. The record is from RefSeq and is a predicted model, not a curated record.